This 687-nucleotide ribosomal RNA is filed under the name Pseudoxanthomonas sp. IH7-18. RNAcentral describes it as "bacterial SSU rRNA". It matches the Rfam family "Bacterial small subunit ribosomal RNA", at positions 65 to 749 of the family's 1533-position model. The record is from RNAcentral. Lineage: Bacteria; Pseudomonadati; Pseudomonadota; Gammaproteobacteria; Lysobacterales; Lysobacteraceae.
GGCAGCACAGUAAGAGCUUGCUCUUACGGGUGGCGAGUGGCGGACGGGUGAGGAAUACAUCGGAAUCUACUCUGUCGUGGGGGAUAACGUAGGAAACUUACGCUAAUACCGCAUACGACCUUAGGGUGAAAGUGGGGGACCGCAAGGCCUCACGCGAUUGAAUGAGCCGAUGUCGGAUUAGCUAGUUGGCGGGGUAAAGGCCCACCAAGGCGACGAUCCGUAGCUGGUCUGAGAGGAUGAUCAGCCACACUGGAACUGAGACACGGUCCAGACUCCUACGGGAGGCAGCAGUGGGGAAUAUUGGACAAUGGGCGCAAGCCUGAUCCAGCCAUACCGCGUGAGUGAAGAAGGCCCUCGGGUUGUAAAGCUCUUUUGUUGGGAAAGAAAUCCUGUUGGUUAAUACCCGGCAGGGAUGACGGUACCCAAAGAAUAAGCACCGGCUAACUUCGUGCCAGCAGCCGCGGUAAUACGAAGGGUGCAAGCGUUACUCGGAAUUACUGGGCGUAAAGCGUGCGUAGGUGGUGAUUUAAGUCUGUUGUGAAAGCCCUGGGCUCAACCUGGGAAUUGCAGUGGAUACUGGGUCACUAAGUGUGGUAAGGGUGGCGGAUUCCCGGUGUACAUGAAAUGCGUAAAGACGGGAGACUCCGUGGCGAAGCGCACUGGCCAACUUGACUGAGCCGAAGCUGG